CCUACGGGAGGCAGCAGUGGGGAAUAUUGCACAAUGGGGGAAACCCUGAUGCAGCGACGCCGCGUGAGUGAAGAAGUAUUUCGGUAUGUAAAGCUCUAUCAGCAGGGAAGAAAAUGACGGUACCUGAGUAAGAAGCCCCGGCUAACUACGUGCCAGCAGCCGCGGUAAUACGUAGGGGGCAAGCGUGAUCCGGAUUUACGGGGGGUAAAGGGAGCGUAGAGGGAGAGGCAAGUCAGACGUGAAAGCCCGGGGCUCAACUCCGGGACUGCUUGUGAAACUGGGUGGCUGGAGUGCAGGAGCGGUCAGCGGACUUCCUGGUGUAGCGGUGAAAUGCGUAGAUAUCAGGAGGAACCCCAGUGGCGAAGGCGGAUUACGGGACUGUCACUGACGUUGCGUCUCGAAAGCGUGGGGAGCAAACAGGAUUAGAUACCGUAGUC
Molecule: ribosomal RNA, 437 nt
Filed under: uncultured bacterium
Lineage: Bacteria
Description: partial 16S ribosomal RNA
Rfam family: Bacterial small subunit ribosomal RNA
Source: RNAcentral